GAGGGGACGGUGGGCUGGGCGGGGCGGGAAACGUUAGGCCAGCGGCCCCCGGGGUACGGGGGUCGAGCGGGCGGGGAGGGCCCGAGGCGAGCUCUGCCCGGAUGAGGAACAAAGCGGUGGGGCAGGCGCGCGCGCCCCCCGCGCGGCCGGCAGGUUGGGCGGCCCCCCUCCCGAAGCUUCUGGAGGAAAAGCCCCGGGUGACCCCCGUCAUGCCCCAUCUCGCGGCAGGGUGCGCGGCCGCAGGCCCUCGGGAGAAGUUGGGCGGCCCCGGGCGGCCGCGGGGCCGAGUGGCCGCGUUUGUGCAGCGGUUGUAAGGAAGAUGCGGUAGCACGUGACCCUGGAACGCAAUCCCUGAUGCCGGUUCCCCGCCACCCGUGUGUUCUUUUCUCUGACGCUUGGCCCCAAGCAGAUGCAUCACAGGAUGAAUGAAAUGAACCUGAGUCCAGUGGGGAUGGAGCAGCUGACUUCAUCCUCUGUGAGCAAUGCCUUGCCAGUCUCAGGGAGUCAUUUAGGGUUGGCUGCUUCACCCACUCACAAUGCCAUCCCUGCCCCGGGCCUGCCAGUGGCGAUUCCAAAUUUGGGUCCCUCCCUGAGCUCUUUGCCUUCUGCUUUGUCUCUGAUGCUCCCAAUGGGUAUUGGGGAUCGAGGGGUGAUGUGCGGGUUGCCCGAAAGAAACUACACCCUACCUCCACCACCUUACCCCCACCUGGAGAGCAGUUACUUCAGAACCAUUCUACCUGGCAUUUUAUCUUAUUUAGCUGACAGACCACCUCCUCAGUAUAUCCACCCUAAUUCUAUAAAUGUUGAUGGUAAUACAGCAUUAUCUAUCGCCAAUAACGCUUCAGCUCUAGAUCCCUAUCAGUCCAAUGGAAAUGUUGGAUUAGAACCAGGCAUUGUUUCAAUAGACUCUCGUUCUGUGAACACACAUGGUGCCCAAAGUCUUCAUCCCAGUGAUGGCCAUGAGGUGGCCUUGGACACAACAAUCACUAUGGAGAACGUCUCUAGGGUUACCAGCCCAAUCUCUACAGAUGGAAUGGCAGAAGAACUUACAAUGGAUGGUGUUGCAGGCGAGCAUUCCCAAAUCCCAAAUGGCUCCAGAAGUCAUGAACCUCUGUCUGUAGAUUCUGUGAGCAACAACCUUGCAGCAGACACUGUAGGACAUGGUGGUGUGAUACCCAUUCAUGGGAAUGGUCUGGAGCUCCCUGUGGUCAUGGAGACAGACCACAUUGCAAGUCGGGUCAACGGGAUGUCUGACAGUGCCCUCAGUGACUCCAUUCACACCGUGGCCAUGAGCACCAACUCUGUAAGCGUGGCACUCUCUACCUCACACAACCUCGCCUCCCUAGAAUCUGUUUCCCUCCAUGAAGUUGGCCUAAGCCUAGAACCUGUGGCUGUCUCCUCCAUCACCCAGGAGGUUGCUAUGGGGACAGGUCAUGUAGAUGUAUCUUCAGACAGUCUUUCUUUUGUACCACCUUCACUGCAAAUGGAAGACUCCAAUUCAAACAAGGAAAAUAUGGCAACUUUGUUUACAAUUUGGUGCACUCUCUGUGACCGAGCCUAUCCCUCAGACUGCCCUGAUCACGGACCAGUGACUUUUGUUCCUGACACUCCAAUAGAGAGUAGAGCGAGGCUUUCUCUCCCAAAGCAGCUUGUUCUCCGGCAGUCAGUUGUGGGAGCAGAAGUUGGUGUGUGGACUGGAGAAACCAUUCCUGUGCGUACUUGCUUUGGGCCUCUCAUUGGCCAACAGAGUCACUCCAUGGAAGUAGCAGAAUGGACAGACAAGGCAGUCAACCAUAUCUGGAAGAUGUACCACAAUGGUGUCCUAGAAUUCUGCAUCAUUACAACUGAUGAAAAUGAAUGUAAUUGGAUGAUGUUUGUGCGCAAAGCCAGGAACCGGGAAGAGCAGAAUUUGGUGGCGUAUCCCCAUGAUGGAAAAAUCUAUUUCUGCACCUCACAAGAUAUCCCUCCUGAAAAUGAACUGCUUUUUUAUUACAGCCGGGAUUAUGCUCAGCAGAUUGGUGUUCCCGAACACCCAGAUGUGCACCUCUGUAACUGUGGCAAGGAGUGCAAUUCCUAUACAGAGUUCAAAGCUCACCUUACCAGCCACAUCCAUAACCAUCUUCAUAGCCAGGGCCACAGCAGCAGCCAUGGGCCAAGCCACAGCAAAGAAAGGAAGUGGAAGUGCUCAAUGUGCCCCCAGGCUUUUAUCUCUCCUUCCAAACUUCAUGUCCACUUUAUGGGUCACAUGGGUAUGAAGCCCCACAAGUGUGAUUUCUGUAGCAAGGCUUUUAGUGAUCCCAGCAACCUGCGGACCCACCUCAAGAUACAUACAGGUCAGAAGAACUACAGAUGUACUUUGUGUGACAAGUCUUUCACCCAGAAGGCUCACCUAGAGUCCCACAUGGUUAUCCACACGGGCGAGAAGAAUCUCAAGUGUGAUUACUGUGACAAGUUGUUUAUGCGGAGGCAGGACCUCAAGCAGCAUGUGCUCAUCCACACACAAGAACGCCAGAUCAAGUGUCCCAAGUGUGAUAAGCUGUUCUUGAGAACAAAUCACUUGAAGAAACAUCUCAAUUCUCACGAAGGAAAACGGGAUUAUGUCUGUGAAAAAUGUACAAAGGCUUAUCUUACCAAAUAUCAUCUCACCCGCCACCUAAAAACCUGCAAAGGUCCCACCUGCAGUUCAUCAGCACAAGAGGAGGAGGAAGAUGAUGACUCAGAGGAAGAAGAACUGGCAGACUCUGUGGGGACAGAAGACUGUCAGAUUAACAGUGCUGUGUAUUCAGCGGAUGAGUCUCUCUCAGCACAUAAGUAAAAGCCAACUAUUUCGGGUGGAAAAUGCAAAAGGGAAAAACAAUAUACAACCAGUUAUCCACUACAAUGGUUUUUAUAUAAAAUGGUUUCUGAUUUUCUUCCAGCCAGCAGUCGAAUGGGGAUGGAUAAAGCACUUAUAGAAGAGUACCCUAAUGAAAACACUUUAGAACAGAUUGGGAAAAGAGAGCAGCGCUUGUCCUCCCUAAGGGAGUGCCUUGACUCUGCUGCCUUCUUGGAGAACUUCGGGUGAAGAUCGCUCGCUCAUCUGUAAGACGAGGAAAGAAGCCUCAGAGGAAAUAACUCCGCUGACACCUUGAUCUCAGACCUCUGGUCUCCAGAACUGUGAGAAAACUAACUUCUGUUGGUUAAGUCACUCAGUCUGUGGUACUGUAUUGUGACAGUCCUAGCAAGCUCCACACUGGCCAACUGAAGGUGGCGUCUUUCUGAGGAGCAGCUUCCAGAAUAGUGACUGUAAUUGUAACCGUAGCUUUACAAAUUCUCAGGAGCAACGUAAAUGGCAGGAACAGUUCAUAGUGGUAUGUAUUGUCACUGGCAGAUUUCUGUGCUUCUGAAAGGGAUAGAAUCACUUCUUAACUAUGUUUUUGUUUCUUCAUUUUUCUUGCAUAUACAUACUUGAGAGUCAUGAAGUGCCCCCAGGCCCGUGUAGUCCUCAGACAAGGAGAAAGCUUUCUUUUCAAAAACCAUCUAAGUGCCGGUCCAGUGUAAAGCAUUAUAAGGGAACAAAAAUAAGUGGCCAGGACUCUGCCCCCGUCCUCUGGAAACAAAAUCUUGCAGAGACCUGAUUGUGCAGCUGGAUCACCUAAGGAGCUAAGAAAUGCCAGGGGUCCAUGUCAGCCCCAGGCCUGCUUAUAAGUGUACUGGGCUCCCCAGGCCCAGGUGAUCCUGAAGCAGUGUCCACUGGAGCCUUCUGUUGGAGACCAUGGAAGAUACAGGUGCAGAUGUCUAUACCUAAUGCAAGCCAGACCGUGGUUAAUUCCAUGAUGAUCAAAUAACAUACUUUGAAUAAUUUCAGUUCUUUAAAAUUUGUUGAUAUUUGCAUCAUGACCCUGUAUCAGUAGGCUCCACACCCAGAGUAGAGCACAACAUGGGGCUUGAACUCACAACCCUGAGAUCAAGACCUGCGCCAAGAUCAAGAGUUGGAUGCCCAACUGACUGAGCCACCCAGAUGACCUAUGAUUCUGUGUUAAGUUUACUAACCAGCAGAAAACUUUUUUUGGAUUUAGAACCGUCUUUCUACGCGAAGAGUCAGUAAUCAGUGGAACUACGGUCUUCCGUGUUUAUAGGACAAACCAGACUACCUCAAGGUAAUAAAUAAGCAGCCAGGUUCCCCUGAAGGGAAGGGAGUGGUCCUUCAAGGAAAGCUGGAUUUUGUAGGAAGUAGCUGAGAAAAGGCAGAUUAUUCACACUGGGAAGGGGAGGGCUGUUCUUAGAGAUCAUGUUAUAUUUCCUUCCAGCUUUCCCAUAAAUUCAUAUUUUGUCAUAAAUAUUUUUAAAAUGGUCAUUUAAAUUGUGAAGACAAAUUUGUGAACAUGAGCAUCUCCACAUUACAUGUGAUCUUGUCUAUUUCCCCAAGCAGACUACAUUACAGGAUGAACACUAGAUCUACCUCAUGUAUUCAAACCACACAUUUUUCUCGUUUAGAAAAAGGCAGUUAAGAUUUUUUACCU
Molecule: RNA transcript, 4502 nt
Organism: Ailuropoda melanoleuca (giant panda)
Lineage: Eukaryota; Metazoa; Chordata; Mammalia; Carnivora; Ursidae
Gene: PRDM4
Gene name: PR/SET domain 4
Exons: 17
Source: RefSeq, a predicted model, not a curated record